UAAUUCUCAGAGAUAGUGAGUUGGAAUUUCUACAACCUACCAAAUUUAACUAUUUAAGCAUGAGGUCACAAUCAAGAAAUAUGAUGCUAGUCAACAAAAAAGAUUAAAUUCAAAAUUGUGAGACUAUAGUGCAAAAAAUAAUAAGUUGUAGAUGACAACUGUCAAAGCAACAUCUGAAUGACUGGAAAGAGAACUCGAUAUGUUGAAAUCAUGUGUGGACACCAAUAACUUGAAAGGUUAAAAUCAUGAAAUUGAACCAUACAUUCAGAAUCCGAGACAUAGUAAAUAAACUGCACUUGAUAGUACAGACCUCACAUUAAAAGAUGGGUGUUGAUCUGCAGAGUAUGUUUACAUUCAGUACAAAGGCUCGUUGCUUUGUUUUGUCUGCAACUCUGUUAGCAAGUGUAGACCCAAGACAAAGUGUUACAGAAAUAAUCUCUCGUGUUAUAUCAGUGCCAUCUCUAAUCAAAGCAAUCACACCUGCAAGAACUUUAGUAGUCAGCAUGUUUGCUUGUGGUCACACUAAAUAUACCGAAACAGUAGGCAUAAAAAUCUCCUUUGAAAGGAUAAUUUACUCACUUCGAUAGCUAUCAUCCUUAAUCACAAAUGAAGUCCAACUGCUGCUACCCGGAAGAUUGCUUUCCCAUACACAAAGUACGGAUGUGGACGAAGAAAGCUCCCGGUGCCAGAUCUUGAGGUCCCUUACGCCAGGAAAGAGAAGAGCAGGCAGUCGGCACAACGCCACCAUAUACUUUUUCUAUCUAAGAUCUCUGAAGCUACGGGGAGGAGUGGGAUAUAGGCCUGCAAAAGUUUCCUUGUGUCAGAUGGGAUCAAGAAGGGAGACGAUGGGGAGCACGGUUGGAGGAGAUGGCCACCAGGAUGGGCAUGCAGUCGGAGGAGAUAACCUGCACCGGCGUCGAUGAGGCGGAGCGAAGAACGGAGGCGAUGCCGGG
Molecule: long non-coding RNA, 953 nt
Filed under: Triticum aestivum (bread wheat)
Lineage: Eukaryota; Viridiplantae; Streptophyta; Magnoliopsida; Poales; Poaceae
Description: long non-coding RNA (TAES_LNC020608)
Source: RNAcentral